UAACCCUCAAGCCUAGCUUGGUGUUGGGGCCUGCUGUUACCGGCAGCCCUUAAAACUAGUGGCGGUGCCACCUGGCUCUAAGCGUAGUAAUAUUUCUCGCUAUAGAGUCCCGGUGGAUGCUUGCCAUCAACCCCUAAUUUUCUAU
RNAcentral lists this unclassified non-coding RNA (145 nucleotides) under uncultured Leotiomycetes. Its description in RNAcentral is "sequence contains ITS2". Lineage: Eukaryota; Fungi; Ascomycota; Leotiomycetes. The record is from RNAcentral.